GAUAUGGUGGUGAUGAAAAACACUUUCAGCAAACAUGCCAGUUCUGCUUCUGAGAAUUCAUGACUGACAAACCUGUUAUAUUGAUCUUGACCCAUU
Triticum urartu is the source of this 96-nucleotide non-coding RNA. NCBI's taxonomy places the organism in Eukaryota, Viridiplantae, Streptophyta, Magnoliopsida, Poales, Poaceae. The record is from Rfam.